UCUGUUCCAAUAUUUGGACUUUGACCUCAGUUCCUGACACAGAUCUCCUAAAUCCUUGGCAAUUUCCUGGAUGAUAGGAUCAUCUUUUGUUCUAAUGAAGCAACUCUUGGUGGGCUCACAGAGAGUCUCAAGACAGGAGCUGGUUGCCAAGGAAACCAACCAUGCAAUAAGAGGAUUAGAAUAUUCAGCCCCACCCCAUGACUUCCAGAGACAGAGGAAAGGCUGAAGGUUGAGUUGAUUACCAGUAGCUCACGAUAUAAUCAUUCAUGCCUACAUAACACAGCUUUCAUAAGAACCCAAUAGGACAGGGUUCAAGGACCCUCUAAAGAAUGCCACACCUAUAGAGGCAUGGAAACUCUUUGCCACUUUCAUCUGACUAUUGAUCUAUAUCCUUUGUAAUGCCUCUUAUAAGAAAUGGGCAGAUUCUAGCAGUGUUUGUGAGAAAAACUGAUGGAUCCUGCAGAUUAACUAUGGACAGCCAAAUAUUGAGUAAAGUGAUGUCUACAACAGCAUCAGCUAUGCCUGAUAUGGUGUUAAUUCACAUUGUGAAGUUCCAAAAUCAGAAGAUGAUACAGAAAGAUUGCUCUGGUUGCCUGGUUUCUGAAGAAAUCGUGUACCCUGUCUGGAUAGUGUCUUACUUCCUAUCCACAAAGUUGUGAAAUAAUCUGGAAUUAAAUGGCAACCUAAACAACCCUAGAGUUGCCUGAACACAGAGCCAUUGCUGUGUUGAUCAUUAUAGCAGUCCUCAAUAGGAAAAAGAUGCCUCCCUGGUCGACCUUCCUGGAAAGUAUGCAUAUCAUUACUGCUUAGAUUUUGUUGGAGAGAAAUCACACUACCAUCAAAGACAACGGGUCAAAAAGAAUGCCGUCCUAAGCUGAGAAGCCAUCUUCCUAACGACAGCCAUGUAAUAUGAAAGGGAAAAACACACUGUUAUUGAAGAACUUAUCAGCUAUGUCACAUCUUCCACACAAAUACUCAGGAAAGUUAAAAGAAAAUUUUACCUCGGACACAGUUGAUGAUUGCUAAAGUCCUAUUGCAUGCUUUAAGAUGCCUUGCGUUUGGUGAAUUGAAGCCUGAUAUGUCAACAUACUCUCUGUAAACACAGCAGCACAGAGGGCAAAGAAACACUUAUCCAGCACCACAGCUAGGACAAAAGGAAUUAUUUUGACAGUAAAUGGACUUGCAGCUUAAGGUUGGUAUGUACCCAAUUGUGACUAAACCAAAAGAAACAAAUCUGGAAACUGAAGUAUCAAUACGUGAAAAGCGUUCUUUUGGUAUUGGGAGUGCCAGUUGUCUUUGUUUCAUGAACUACUUCUCCGUAAUAGCAUGCAGCCAUCUUCAAGAGGUGAGAAUUUCACUUAGCGACUUAAACAGAAGUGUUAUCUCAAGAUAAUAUAAUAUCUGGAGGUAAAACAGCAUCCCCAGGAUAAACAGGAAAAGAAAAAAAAGGGCCAAUGUCUUCAUUACAAGAUAGACUCCUGAGAAUGCUUAUUCCAGCAAAGAAGAAGAUCUUCCUAAAAAACAAGAUUAUAAGUCACAGUCUGUAAGAAAAGAAAAAGUAAAACAAGAUAGACUCCUGAGAACACUAAUUCCAGCAAAGAAGAAGAAGAUCUUCCUAAAAAACAAGGAUUACUCAAAGUUAUUGAGAAGAAAUACAGGUUCUGGUGGACAAUUUCCAGUCUGGAGUCUGCAUUUGGAGAGAUUCUACAGCACAUGCAUGAAUGGUGUGCUGCCUAUUCAUUUAAGAAACUGAUGGUUUUACGACUAGUAGCAUGGUGUAUUUAACAAACACUGGCCUAGGACUCAUAAACAGAGAUGACUACAGGUUGAUGAUCUAAUAAAUAUUCUAGUCAUCACUGCCUGGGCUAAAGAGGAGGAGGUGGUGUCCCAAGGGCAUUUAUAUCUUUGCUCUGUAUUUGGAGGAGAAUGGAGAGUUCCAAAUGAUCAGAGCUUGCACAUUACUAGAUCCCCUUUCUAGGGAAAAUGCUGCGAUCAAUUGAAGUUGUCAUCCUCAUGAAGCUCAUACUGUUUUGCCUGAAAAAUAAAUGUAAAUGCACAUUCUUGGUCUUAAAAUACAUAGAAACAAUACUUUUUUCCCUGCUACUAGCUUUGUAAGAUAAAUAGGGUUCAUGUUUAACAUAUAUACUCAAUACUUGGGCAAUUUGUCUUCAUCUAAUGAAUUAUUAUUUACCAUUUUUAAAUUAUCUGCUCAGAUUACAAGAUUCUUUUUAACAAUAACCAAAUUUUAAUUAGUAAAACUUUUGGUCACUUUAUAUUUUCUGAUGUGCAUAUUACAAUAAAAU
This 2303-nucleotide long non-coding RNA is filed under the name Homo sapiens (human). RNAcentral describes it as "HSALNT0085940". The record is from RNAcentral. Lineage: Eukaryota; Metazoa; Chordata; Mammalia; Primates; Hominidae.